Molecule: small nucleolar RNA, 135 nt
Organism: Tursiops truncatus (common bottlenose dolphin)
Lineage: Eukaryota; Metazoa; Chordata; Mammalia; Artiodactyla; Delphinidae
Source: Ensembl
CCUCCUUUUCUUGGCGGGGAUCGGGCGUGCGGUCCCGGUCCGCGUAAUGUACGGAGGUAGAGGGAAAGGGCUCCAGCCCCCUUGGCGUCAUGUCUUCGGUACCAGCAGGUUCUAUCCUCAAGCGCCGGGACACAG